This 800-nucleotide ribosomal RNA is filed under the name uncultured bacterium. RNAcentral describes it as "bacterial SSU rRNA". It matches the Rfam family "Bacterial small subunit ribosomal RNA", at positions 41 to 836 of the family's 1533-position model. The record is from RNAcentral.
GGCAGGCUUAACACAUGCAAGUCGAGCGGAGCGAGGGUGCUUGCACCUUAGCUUAGCGGCGGACGGGUGAGUAAUGCUUAGGAAUCUGCCUAUUAGUGGGGGACAACAUUCCGAAAGGAAUGCUAAUACCGCAUACGCCCUACGGGGGAAAGCAGGGGAUCUUCGGACCUUGCGCUAAUAGAUGAGCCUAAGUCGGAUUAGCUAGUCGGUGGGGUAAAGGCCUACCAAGGCGACGAUCUGUAGCGGGUCUGAGAGGAUGAUCCGCCACACUGGGACUGAGACACGGCCCAGACUCCUACGGGAGGCAGCAGUGGGGAAUAUUGGACAAUGGGCGGAAGCCUGAUCCAGCCAUGCCGCGUGUGUGAAGAAGGCCUUUUGGUUGUAAAGCACUUUAAGCGAGGAGGAGGCUACUUAGAUUAAUACUCUAGGAUAGUGGACGUUACUCGCAGAAUAAGCACCGGCUAACUCUGUGCCAGCAGCCGCGGUAAUACAGAGGGUGCGAGCGUUAAUCGGAUUUACUGGGCGUAAAGCGUGCGUAGGCGGCUUUUUAAGUCGGAUGUGAAAUCCCCGAGCUUAACUUGGGAAUUGCAUUCGAUACUGGGAAGCUAGAGUAUGGGAGAGGAUGGUAGAAUUCCAGGUGUAGCGGUGAAAUGCGUAGAGAUCUGGAGGAAUACCGAUGGCGAAGGCAGCCAUCUGGCCUAAUACUGACGCUGAGGUACGAAAGCAUGGGGAGCAAACAGGAUUAGAUACCCUGGUAGUCCAUGCCGUAACGAUGUCUACUAGCCGUUGGGGCCUUUGAG